Molecule: long non-coding RNA, 1255 nt
Organism: Carassius carassius (crucian carp)
Lineage: Eukaryota; Metazoa; Chordata; Actinopteri; Cypriniformes; Cyprinidae
Exons: 5
Source: RefSeq, a predicted model, not a curated record
CCUCACACAACGAUCUCGUCAUCAUCUGUGGAGACUUCAACGAGGACCUCCUACACCCUGGAAAAAAACCUAUUCUGGAGUUGUUUCAAUCUCGAGGAUACACGCAACUGAUUACAUCAGCGACAACGGAAAAGCACACACUACUUGACCACAUCUACAUUUCAAAUCCGGACUUCUGCCAUCAAUCGGGCGUGUUACAGACCUACCACAGUUACCACAAUCCUGUGUACUGUGUAUUGCGUUUUUUUUCAUAGGUGAAUUGCCCGCUAUACCAGGUCACUGGGGCCACUGAAUCAGCAUUAACGACAACAGUGGGGCUACACCAGCCUUAGUUCCCCAGUGGCUUUUGUAUCAGUGGUGUCUUGGCCUUAAGCCAUGCGGAACUGGGGUUCCAUUUAACCUCCUUUAUCGGCGACAGUGACGUUGCGCUUAUAUUGUGUUGUCCGUGGUAAUAUGAAGGUGUUGUGUCCCUGAGUUAUCUAGAGUUCAGCAGCAGGAAGGACGAAGGAGUAGUGUGGCAGCUCCAGGCAGGACAGGAAGUGAAGGCAGCAGAAUACAGGACACAGUCAGGAUUAGUGAAGAUUUUGGAGACCAUAGCAGUCCUCUGCAACACUGGAUAUGAGUGUGCAAUAUACCAUCUAAAGGAACCGGCGAGUCAGAAUGUCUGAGAAGAUCAAGUGUGCUUCUCCACUGAUGAUGAUGAGCUGGAUACCAGCUUAUGGGCUAAUUUCUUUCAAGGACGGGACCAGAUGUGUUUGGAGUUGAAGACAAUGCUGAAGACCAAAGAAGCAAUGGAAGAAGCACAUUACAGCACUGAGGGUGUCCAGCCUGUUUGCCAUGUCAGAUCCAGCGGCUAGAUGGCGGGAGAUGCUUCAAUACCUGAUUGCAUUUAAUCAUUAGAUGAUCGAUUAAUCAAUUUUAAUAUAUUUUUAAAUGAUCUUAUUAUAUUAAAUAAUUGGUCUCAGUUUACUAUUUCAUAUAUUAGCUUGAAUAAGAAUGUUCUUAUAAUGUGUACGCCAUGCCCGAGGAGGAUGGGUUCCCCCUGAUGAGUCUGGUUCCUCUCAAGGUUUUUUAUCUCCUUAAGAGUUUUUUCCUUGCCACCGUCGCCACUGGCUUGCUCACUGGGGGUGUUGUGUCAAAUCCUGUGUCCCUCUUGCAUCCCUGCCGACCAGGGUUUCCAAAACAACAGUUUGCGACUCAAUAAUUUUUUUUUUAUUAAAUCAUAGAAAUUUAAACAUAAAAUUGAAAUCAUGUU